CAAUAGCGUAUAUUAAAGUUGUUGCGGUUAAAAAGUUCGUAGUUGGAUUUCUGCCAAGGACGACCGGUCCGCCCUCUGGGUGAGUAUCUGGCUUGGCCUGGGCAUCUUCUUGGAGAACGUUGCCGCACUUCACUGUGUGGCGCGGUACCCAGGACCUUUACUUUGAGGAAAUUAGAGUGUUUCAAGCAGGCUUUCGCCUUGAAUACAUUAGCAUGGAAUAAUAAGAUAGGACCUCGGUUCUAUUUUGUUGGUUUCUAGAGCUGGGGUAAUGAUUAAUAGGGAUAGUUGGGGGCAUUAGUACUUAACUGUCAGAGGUGAAAUUCUCGGAUUUGUUAAAGACUAACUUAUGCGAAAGCAUUUGCCAAGGAUGUUUUCAUUAA
This 380-nucleotide ribosomal RNA is filed under the name uncultured eukaryote. Its description in RNAcentral is "partial 18S ribosomal RNA". It matches the Rfam family "Eukaryotic small subunit ribosomal RNA", at positions 592 to 976 of the family's 1831-position model. The record is from RNAcentral.